Arachis stenosperma is the source of this 1336-nucleotide RNA transcript. RefSeq lists it as uncharacterized. The transcript has 9 exons. The record is from RefSeq and is a predicted model, not a curated record. NCBI's taxonomy places the organism in Eukaryota, Viridiplantae, Streptophyta, Magnoliopsida, Fabales, Fabaceae.
UUGAGUUCAGACAGUUCCAAGAGAGACUAACUGAAUCCAAACGAAUUUCCCUCUGCAUUUUGCAUGAUUUCUCUUUCUACUACGAAGCUGAAAUUCAAACCCCUUACAGCUUUCGCACUCACUUUCGCUAGGGUUUAUCGCAUGGCCGCUGCACCUCCAUCCUCCCCUCCGUCAAAUGCCGCCGCCACUAUUCCUCCUCUACCUCCUUCUUCGGCGGUUCGCGACGGACCUCCUUCCGCUUCUUCUGCAAUCGAUUUCCUCUCCAUAUGUCACCGCCUCAAGACAACAAAAAGGACGGGAUGGGUUCGAAGAAAUGUUGAGAAUCCAGAAUCUAUUGCUGAUCAUAUGCAUCGAAUGGGUUUGAUGGCUCUCAUUGCAUCAGAUGCCCCCGGUGUAGACAGAAACAAGUGCGUGAAAAUGGCCAUUGUUCAUGACAUUGCAGAAGCUAUUGUUGGGGAUAUAUGCCCUGAGGAUGGAAUUUCAAAGGAAGAAAAGAGUCGGCGGGAACAAGAUGCACUGGACUGUAUGUGUAAUGUUCUUGGAGGAGGAUCUAGAGGGAGUCACACCCACCUAUUGGGUCAAUGCUUGCUUGUGGUUGUUAUUAUGGUCUUUGAUUCACUACAAUCGGUACCCGUUGGCUGAUUUUGAUUACUAACCUCCCCAAGUGGAGAUGAUACUUCAAGCUUUGGAAUAUGAAAAUGAGCAGGGGAAGGAUUUGGAUGAAUUUUUCCAGUCAACUGCUGGGAAGUUCCAAACUGAAACAGGCAAAGCUUGGGCGUCCGAGAUCGUGUCAAGAAGAAGGAAGAAUAACUAAAUGCUCGGAUCAAUCUGAUUGAGUGUGUAGUAAUAGCAGCAUCGCUUUUACCAAGAAAAAGAAAAGGAUUCAAUGGUAGCUGUGCAAUGAGACCAGCGUAUGCUAUUUCCCAUCCAUGUCCCGGAUAGCGGGCAAGCUAAGCCAUUAUCCUGCCCAUGGCGCACAGUACUCAUAACCUACCAAACGCUGUAUGUGAACUUGUGAAGCCCCCAAUGUUUAGAGUUAUCAACUUUAUUGAAACAGAGAAAUUAUCAUUACACGUCCAGCUGAAUUAAUGGUGAAUGAUUAUCUCCAAGGAUUGAAGUUAAGAGCAAUGAUAUUUUAAACGGGAGUGGAUCAUCUCCAGUGAAAAAAAUUAGAUGGUAUCCAGUGUUUAAUCUAACCAUUCAUUACUUUUUCUCUCUUAUUUAUUUCUGGUCCCAUUUAUAGAAUCAAAAGUAGAAAAUCACAGUGUAUCUUGUCAAGUGUUAAAAACACUGGAGAGAAUCCAUUUCCCAUUUUAAACCCAGUGUGGUUGUUUAU